This 253-nucleotide ribosomal RNA is filed under the name uncultured bacterium. RNAcentral's name for it is "partial 16S ribosomal RNA". It matches the Rfam family "Bacterial small subunit ribosomal RNA", at positions 524 to 776 of the family's 1533-position model. The record is from RNAcentral.
UACGGAGGAUGCAAGCGUUAUCCGGAUUCAUUGGGUUUAAAGGGUGCGUAGGCGGAAGAAUAAGUCAGUGGUGAAAGCCUGCGGCUUAACCGUAGAAUUGCCAUUGAUACUGUUUUUCUUGAGUAUAGUUGAAGUGGGCGGAAUGUGUAAUGUAGCGGUGAAAUGCUUAGAUAUUACACAGAACACCAAUUGCGAAGGCAGCUCACUAAGCUGUUACUGACGCUGAGUCACGAAAGCGUGGGGAGCAAACAGG